Lepisosteus oculatus (spotted gar) is the source of this 2301-nucleotide long non-coding RNA. RefSeq lists it as uncharacterized. The record is from RefSeq and is a predicted model, not a curated record. NCBI's taxonomy places the organism in Eukaryota, Metazoa, Chordata, Actinopteri, Semionotiformes, Lepisosteidae.
CUUGUUCCUUUGCAGCCUACGCAUGCUGACGCAGCUACCCACCUGAAUUAUAAUAAGUAAUUCACAUCUGUAAAUUUUUGAUGAAUAUAGAGAUAUUUUCAAAGCGCAAAUAUAUCAGUAUAAGCACUGCUUGAAUUAAUAUUCUAUAUUGCAAACACAGUUAAUAAUUUGUUCUCUGUACAUUCCUAUACCAUGUUAUGCUGUGCCAUCAUUGUUAUACAUUGUUACUGUUAUAUCUAUUUUCUAAUUUCCCGUUAGGACUUCAGUCCUUUUGAUUUACAUUUUUAGGAAGCUCAUCUACAAACGGUAGAGAGUCAUACUUUUUCUUUCAGAUGGAAAGGGUUGAAUUUUCCCAAGGAAACAUACAUACCCAUCUAAUCUAAUCAAUCUUACAUGUGUGCAUUGAUAGGUAAUGACCCUCCCCAUCACUACCAACACCUUUCUUAGCAGAACGGCUAUAUUGUCAUGUGUCAUCUGCUGGUGCUUUCUAGUCUGAUGAGAAGCCAGUUCAGCAGACAGAUUCCUUUUACUCAGUAAAGUGGCUUUAUUACUCCACUGUGGAUCACUGCCUCAUUCCGAUCACUUUUGUAUGCUUUUCCACUGAUUAAUUGCCUGUCUGGAGUGUGUCGCUCAUUUUUGCUUAAAGAACCCUGUCUUAAAGGAGAGCAGCCUCUGGUUUGAAAUUAGACUUUGGCUGUCAGAUCCAUUAUAGUUUUUUAGUUUUUCUUAGAAGGCUGAGCUGACUACAGACAUUUGUCAUAAUUCAGUGUGUGGUAAAUACAGUAUUUGUUUGUAUUUCGUACUCAUUCGAAGGUAUUCUAGGUUUUUGUCUUUUUCAACUGUGUCAAUCAGCUCUGAUUAUGUACCUACUAAUAAAGACUUUGGUAAUACUCUUGAGAUCUGAAGCCAUUUCCAGGGCUGUCUCCAUUCUUCUCUAACAUGAUUUUUAAAAAUGCUGUUGCUUAGCUGAGAUUUCAGUCACACCUGAGACUUUGUACUAAAUAAGAUGGCAUUGAUUCGUUAGCCAGUUCAGUUUAACAUAAUUUAAUGUCAGUAUUUUGCAAAAUGUGCAUACUGUAGAUUAAUCUUUAUAAGAUUAUCAAGUGGAUGCUCCACUAUCAAUUUGCAGGCUUAUCCCUUUGAGACUUUGUAAAUAUGAAAACACAGCAUCCUAAUCCUUAGUCAUAUCAUUAGUUUUGUGCAUACAAUAACAGACCAACACCAGAAUCUUUCAAAGCGUUUUUUGUUGGGGUACUAGAAGAAACAAGUGUUACGUGUACAGGACAAAUUUUGCAUUUCCUUGCUGACUUCCAGUCGUUUUACAAGUGUUCUUUUUCUCAUUUGGUAGCCAGGAUUCCUCCUAUCUGACACACACCAAACCGAGUUCAGUGAGGCAGUAAAGUUUUUCUCAUAAUCAGAUAUGCAAGAGAAGGAAAUCACAAUGCACUAUGAGUCCUAACGGAUGUCCAGUAUUUAUGCAGAAGCUUGUUUCCAUAGGCAAACACCAGGCUGUGCAGCAGUUGUCUGACUGGGGAAAGGCCAAGGCUGAGCUGGGGUCCCCUGUGAUGCACCUUGCUGAACCAGCACAUUGCAGGAUUAGGAAGGUGAACUAAAAACUCAGACUGCCUGCUCAAGUCCCAGUAAGCUAGUUUCCAAUUUUUGUAUUUGUAUCCAUAGGGAAAAUCACACUGGUCCAGGCUCCCUGCAAGUCAGAACAGAGCAAAUUGGCUGAGGUUGAUUCACCUGACUGCUACGUGGCCCAGCAGGAUUGUCACACAGAGCCUGGCGGACUCCUCCAUAGUGUGAAGUAUAUUAUCUAGGGAGAGAGCAAAGGUGUCACAAUGAAAAGAGCCCUAAUGGAGAAAGUUCCAGACCAUUAUGCCACCCUGGACAUGGGCAAGCUGCUUGUAAGUGUCUGGGAACAGUGCCUUCAAUGCGAUUGUACACUCAGGAUUUUUUCCUGUGUGAAGAGUUGUAUUUUAGCUCUCAAUGAGGUCAGGGUAAACUAGAUAUUUGUCUUUUAAUAUACAAACAUUUUAUUUUUUACCAUGGUAAGUGUGAAUAUGCAGAGUUGUUGUAAUAAUAUAACAUUUAUGCCUAUGCAUAUCUGUAUGAUACUAGUUAAUAUUUUUGUUUGUAAGCUAAAUGGAGAAAAUUGUAACACACAUUUUCAGACAUUCUUUGUAUGUAUGUGUUAUUUUGUCUAACAAGCAUCAUGAAGCUUAAAGUUUAACGUGAAAGUUUUGAAGCUUUGUUUUAUGGAAAUCAUAUGAAAUUAAAUGGUGGAUUUCACCAAAUGUU